This 634-nucleotide ribosomal RNA is filed under the name uncultured fungus. Its description in RNAcentral is "eukaryotic LSU rRNA". The stretch from base 232 to 385 matches the Rfam family "5.8S ribosomal RNA". Lineage: Eukaryota; Fungi. The record is from RNAcentral.
AGUAAAAGUCGUAACAAGGUUUCCGUAGGUGAACCUGCGGAAGGAUCAUUAAAGAGUAAGGGUGCUCAGCGCCCGACCUCCAACCCUUUGUUGUUAAAACUACCUUGUUGCUUUGGCGGGACCGCUCGGUCUCGAGCCGCUGGGGAUUCGUCCCAGGCGAGCGCCCGCCAGAGUUAAACCAAACUCUUGUUAUUAAACCGGUCGUCUGAGUUAAAAUUUUGAAUAAAUCAAAACUUUCAACAACGGAUCUCUUGGUUCUCGCAUCGAUGAAGAACGCAGCGAAAUGCGAUAAGUAAUGUGAAUUGCAGAAUUCAGUGAAUCAUCGAAUCUUUGAACGCACAUUGCGCCCCUUGGUAUUCCGAGGGGCAUGCCUGUUCGAGCGUCAUUACACCACUCAAGCUAUGCUUGGUAUUGGGUGCCGUCCUUAGUUGGGCGCGCCUUAAAGACCUCGGCGAGGCCUCACCGGCUUUAGGCGUAGUAGAAUUUAUUCGAACGUCUGUCAAAGGAGAGGACUUCUGCCGACUGAAACCUUUUAUUUUUCUAGGUUGACCUCGGAUCAGGUAGGGAUACCCGCUGAACUUAAGCAUAUCAAUAAGCGGAGGAAAGGAAACCAACAGGGAUUGCCCCAGUAACG